RNAcentral lists this ribosomal RNA (332 nucleotides) under Proteus mirabilis. Its description in RNAcentral is "bacterial SSU rRNA". It matches the Rfam family "Bacterial small subunit ribosomal RNA", at positions 1 to 329 of the family's 1533-position model. The record is from RNAcentral. Lineage: Bacteria; Pseudomonadati; Pseudomonadota; Gammaproteobacteria; Enterobacterales; Morganellaceae.
UAAUUGAAGAGUUUGAUCAUGGCUCAGAUUGAACGCUGGCGGCAGGCCUAACACAUGCAAGUCGAGCGGUAACAGGAGAAAGCUUGCUUUCUUGCUGACGAGCGGCGGACGGGUGAGUAAUGUAUGGCGAUCUGCCCGAUAGAGGGGGAUAACUACUGGAAACGGUGGCUAAUACCGCAUAAUGUCUACGGACCAAAGCAGGGGCUCUUCGGACCUUGCACUAUCGGAUGAACCCAUAUGGGAUUAGCUAGUAGGUGGGGUAAAGGCUCACCUAGGCGAUGAUCUCUAGCUGGUCUGAGAGGAUGAUCAGCCACACUGGGACUGAGACACGG